GGAAUCUUGCACAAUGGAGGAAACUCUGAUGCAGCGAUGCCGCGUGAGUGAAGAAGGCCUUUGGGUUGUAAAGCUCUUUUGUAGGGGAAGAUAAUGACUGUACCCUAAGAAUAAGGUCCGGCUGACUUCGUGCCAGCAGCCGCGGUAAUACGAAGGGACCUAGCGUAGUUCGGAAUUACUGGGCGUAAAGCGCGCGUAGGCCGUUGAGUUAGUUAAUUGUGAAAUCCCAAAGCUUAACUUUGGAACUGCAAUUAAAACUGCUCGACUAGAGUUUGAUAGAGGAAAGCGGAAUACAUAGUGUAGAGGUGAAAUUCGUAGAUAUUAUGUAGAACACCAGUUGCGAAGGCGGCUUUCUGGAUCAACACUGACGCUGAGGCGCGAAAGUAUGGGUAGCAAAGAGGAUUAGAUACCCUCGUAGUCCAUACCAUAAACGAUGAUUGCUAGAUGUUGGAAAUUUAUUUUCAGUAUCGCAGCUAACGCAUUAAGCAAUCCGCCUGGGGAGUACGACCGCAAGGUUAAAACUCAAAUGAAUUGACGG
RNAcentral lists this ribosomal RNA (538 nucleotides) under uncultured bacterium. RNAcentral's name for it is "bacterial SSU rRNA". It matches the Rfam family "Bacterial small subunit ribosomal RNA", at positions 358 to 916 of the family's 1533-position model. The record is from RNAcentral.